GUGUGAAUGCUCUGAUUCCAGAUGUGC
This 27-nucleotide non-coding RNA is filed under the name Cricetulus griseus (Chinese hamster). The record is from RNAcentral. Lineage: Eukaryota; Metazoa; Chordata; Mammalia; Rodentia; Cricetidae.